CAGUGGGGAAUAUUGCACAAUGGGCGCAAGCCUGAUGCAGCCAUGCCGCGUGUAUGAAGAAGGCCUUCGGGUUGUAAAGUACUUUCAGCAGUGAGGAAGGUGGGUAUGUUAAUAGCAUAUUCAUUUGACGUUAGCUGCAGAAGAAGCACCGGCUAACUCCGUGCCAGCAGCCGCGGUAAUACGGAGGGUGCGAGCGUUAAUCGGAAUUACUGGGCGUAAAGCGCAUGCAGGUGGUUUGUUAAGUCAGAUGUGAAAGCCCCGGGGCUCAACCUCGGAAUUGCAUUUUGAAAACUGGCAAACUAGAGUACUGUAGAGGGGGUAGGAAUUUCAGGUGUAGCGGUGAAAUGCGUAGAGAUCUGAAGGAAUACCGGUGGCGAAGGCGGCCCCCUGGACCAGAUAACUGACACUCAGAUGCGAAAGCGUGGGGAGCAAACAGGAUUAGAUACCCUGGUAG
Molecule: ribosomal RNA, 454 nt
Filed under: uncultured bacterium
Lineage: Bacteria
Description: bacterial SSU rRNA
Rfam family: Bacterial small subunit ribosomal RNA
Source: RNAcentral